GGUUUCCGUAGGUGACCCUGCGGAAGGAUCAUUG
RNAcentral lists this ribosomal RNA (34 nucleotides) under Helipterum craspedioides. Its description in RNAcentral is "partial 18S ribosomal RNA". Lineage: Eukaryota; Viridiplantae; Streptophyta; Magnoliopsida; Asterales; Asteraceae. The record is from RNAcentral.